GAUCAUGGCUCAGGAUGAACGCUAGCGACAGGCUUAACACAUGCAAGUCGAGGGGCAGCAUGAUUUGUAGUAAUACAGAUUGAUGGCGACCGGCGCACGGGUGAGUAACGCGUAUGCAACUUACCUAUCAGAGGGGGACAGCCCGGCGAAAGUCGGAUUAAUACCACAUAAAACAGGGGUCCCGCAUGGGAAUAUUUGUUAAAGAUUCAUCGCUGAUAGAUAGGC
Molecule: ribosomal RNA, 225 nt
Filed under: uncultured bacterium
Lineage: Bacteria
Description: partial 16S ribosomal RNA
Rfam family: Bacterial small subunit ribosomal RNA
Source: RNAcentral